GCUGCCCCCGGGAGGGUCUUAGCUGUGGCGCGCGGGGCUCAGUCCGGCCUGGCCUCACCGCGGGAGGCCCGAGCUCCCUCUUCAGCUAGGUCCUAUUGGUCUUCCUGGGCGGGUCAGCAUUCAGUCUUCGCCCACCUUAGAUCCCUCCACUGCGCUGUAAAACUGCCUUGGAGUGCGGAUCUGUGAUGCUCCUGGGCCAGGCCUAGAGUGGGCACAGCCUCUGUGGGAGAUGUAGACAGGAUCAAAGAGUAUACCUUUUACGGCUGUUCCUCACAGCUCCUUUUAUUCUCCCUCAAGUCCCGACCCUUUACUGGGCCCAUCCAACCCGCCAUCACCUCUUCCCAAACCCUGGAGGCUGCAGGUUAGAACUGCAUUAAGGGAGCUGUCAACAUAUGGAAUUGGAGUAGGCUAUGUACCUUGCACCUAGGCUUCUAUCUGAACAUAAGGGGGAAUGAAUAAAGCCAUCAAAAGCAAUGACCUUGUUAAGAAAAGAAAGAAAAGGAGAAUGACAGCUUUGUGGCCUUCAAGUUAUCUGGGAACAAAGCAGGACAAGUCUGGGCACCUGAAGGAUCUACUGCUUUCAAGUGUCUGCUUUCAGCAAGGUUAUGUGCUGCUCUCCUGAGCAACAUCUCUGACUGUGAUGAAACAUUCAACUACUGGGAGCCAACACACUACCUCAUCUAUGGGGAAGGGUUUCAGACUUGGGAAUAUUCCCCAGCAUAUGCCAUUCGCUCCUAUGCUUACCUGUUGCUUCAUGCCUGGCCAGCUGCAUUUCAUGCAAGAAUUCUACAAACUAAUAAGAUUCUUGUGUUUUACUUUUUGCGAUGUCUUCUGGCUUUUGUGAGCUGUAUUUGUGAACUUUACUUUUACAAGGCUGUGUGCAAGAAGUUUGGGUUGCACGUGAGUCGAAUGAUGCUAGCCUUCUUGGUUCUCAGCACUGGCAUGUUUUGCUCAUCAUCAGCAUUCCUUCCUAGUAGCUUCUGUAUGUACACUACGUUGAUAGCCAUGACUGGAUGGUAUAUGGACAAGACUUCCAUUGCUGUGCUGGGAGUAGCAGCUGGGGCUAUCUUAGGCUGGCCAUUCAGUGCAGCUCUUGGUUUACCCAUUGCCUUUGAUUUGCUGGUCAUGAAACACAGGUGGAAGAGUUUCUUUCAUUGGUCGCUGAUGGCCCUCAUACUAUUUCUGGUGCCUGUGGUGGUCAUUGACAGCUACUAUUAUGGGAAGUUGGUGAUUGCACCACUCAACAUUGUUUUGUAUAAUGUCUUUACUCCUCAUGGACCUGAUCUUUAUGGUACAGAACCCUGGUAUUUCUAUUUAAUUAAUGGAUUUCUGAAUUUCAAUGUAGCCUUUGCUUUGGCUCUCCUAGUCCUACCACUGACUUCUCUUAUGGAAUACCUGCUGCAGAGAUUUCAUGUUCAGAAUUUAGGCCACCCGUAUUGGCUUACCUUGGCUCCAAUGUAUAUUUGGUUUAUAAUUUUCUUCAUCCAGCCUCACAAAGAGGAGAGAUUUCUUUUCCCUGUGUAUCCACUUAUAUGUCUCUGUGGCGCUGUGGCUCUCUCUGCACUUCAGCACAGUUUUCUGUACUUCCAGAAAUGUUACCACUUUGUGUUUCAACGAUAUCGCCUGGAGCACUAUACUGUGACAUCGAAUUGGCUGGCAUUAGGAACUGUCUUCCUGUUUGGGCUCUUGUCAUUUUCUCGCUCUGUGGCACUGUUCAGAGGAUAUCACGGGCCCCUUGAUUUGUAUCCAGAAUUUUACCGAAUUGCUACAGACCCAACCAUCCACACUGUCCCAGAAGGCAGACCUGUGAAUGUCUGUGUGGGAAAAGAGUGGUAUCGAUUUCCCAGCAGCUUCCUUCUUCCUGACAAUUGGCAGCUUCAGUUCAUUCCAUCAGAGUUCAGAGGUCAGUUACCAAAACCUUUUGCAGAAGGACCUCUGGCCACCCGGAUUGUUCCUACUGACAUGAAUGACCAGAAUCUAGAAGAGCCAUCCAGAUAUAUUGAUAUCAGUAAAUGCCAUUAUUUAGUGGAUUUGGACACCAUGAGAGAAACACCCCGGGAGCCAAAAUAUUCAUCCAAUAAAGAAGAAUGGAUCAGCUUGGCCUAUAGACCAUUCCUUGAUGCUUCUAGUUUUGAAGGCUGGAAGACCAAGAUCACGAUGCCAGUAUAGUCAAGUUCUGGUAAAGGCCAUCUUUCUGGCUGCAGACAGCUGACUUGUAUCCUCACAUGGCUGCAAGAAGACAAGCUAGCUCUCUAGCCUCUUCUUAUAAGGACAUUAAUCCCAUUGUUGAGUGCUCCACUCUUUUGACCUAAUUCCCUUCCAAAGGCCCACCUCCAAAUACCAUCACAUAGAUCUUCAAAGCUGCUGCGGGCAUUCUAUGUCCCCUUCCUGUCAGAUCAGUAUACAGUGUACGUAAACUACACCAUCCUCAAACCCCGGAAAGCAAAGCAAAUCAGGAAGAAAAGUGGAGGUUAGCAACACACCUGUGGCCCCAAAGGACAACCAUCUUGUUAACUAUUGAUUCCAGUGACCUGACUCCCUGCAAGUCAUCGCCUGUAACAUUUGUAAUAAAGGUCUUCUGACAUGAAUACUGGAAUCUGGGUGCUCUGGGCUAGUCAAAGUCUAUUUCAAAGUCUAAUCAAAGUCACAUUUGCUCCCUGUGUGUGUCUCUGUUCUGCAUGUAAACUUUUUGCAGCUAGGCAGAGAAAGGCCCUAAAGCACAGAUAGAUAUAUUGCUCCACAUCUCAUUGUUUUUCCUCUGUUCAAUUAUUUACUAGACCGGAGAAGAGCAGAACCAACUUACAGGAAGAAUUGAAAAUCCUGGUACUGGAUGGCUGUGAUAAGCUGUUCUCCACACUCUGGCCUGGCAUCUGAGAACUAGCAAGCCUCUCUUAGGCCAUAUGGGCUUCUCCACCAAAGCUGUUUGGCAGCUCCUAGCAGACCUUCUUAUUGAAAUCCUCAUGCUGAAAAUGAACACAGCCUAGUUGCCAACCCACAUGUCCUUUUCACCUCCAGCAAGACUAAGCUUCUUUAAAGCACUUCACAGGACUAGGACCCUGUCCUGGAGCUAUCUCAGGAAAAAGGUGACCAUUUGAGGAACUGUGACCUAAUUUUAUUAUAAUGAUGCCUCUAAUUUUCAUUUCCUUUACAACCAACUGUAACUAUAAGGUUGUAUUGCUUUUUUGUUCAGUUUUAGCAUGCUAUUUUUUGAAUUCUAGACUCCUCCAUGUGAAGAUAUCAACAGACAAAACUACAACUGUAUAGGACAUAUUUGGAGAAAAUUCUAUCAAUUGAUACAUUUGGAUGACAUCACAUUUUUAAGUAAUGUAAUCUGAGGCCAUUGCUGAGGAAAUUAAGAAUUUUCCUUUUUUUUUAACCACCCCCAGUGAAAAGGAUCAGUGUAUAUUUAUAGCACCUAUUUUUUAGUUCUGUCUGUUGUGAGGCACAUCCUGCAUGGGGCACUUCUAGUCAAAUAGGCAAUGAUAAGGACCUAAUUAAAAUGUGAUAAGUGUAUACUAUUACUUUAAAAGCCUUUACAGUCAGUACUUCAGUUUACAAGGCACUUUCACAGCAUCUCGUUUGAUCCUCACAGUCACAACAUGUGGUAGACAAGGCAGGUGAUUUUUAUCCCCAUUUUACAGAUAAGGAAACAGGCUGCGGGUGGGGAGUGAGGGGAGGUAAAGAUAGUUAGUUGCCUAAGGUCACACAGCCAGUAAGUAAUAGAGCUGGGACUGGAACCCAGGUUUCCUUACUCUCAUCUAUUGCUCCUCCAUAUUCCUCACUCAACCAUGAAAACAUUACUUGAAAGGACUGAUGAGGUUAACCAGAGACCUAACUGAUAUUGUAACUUUCUAUUUUAAGGAAGAAUUGUGUCUGUAUUUGAGUUCUUUGGAGCCUCCAGUCUGCCUGUGUGUUAGACCAGCACAGCAGUGCUGUGUGAUGCAGCCUGACCUGUGGCAGGAAAGUAGUGCUUCUGUUUGGAAGUCAUGUUCUUUUGCAGCCACACAGGAUCCAAAUAUCAGUACUAUUCCUGUAGUCAAUCUGGGGUCACAUUAUAGGUGCCUUAUUUCCCUAAGGGUAACUGAUCUGAAUAUCUGCAAAUAGGAUGAAUCUAUUUUUCAGAAGUUCCAUCUUUCAUUUUUCUUUUUUUUUUUGAGACAGAGUCUCAUUCUGUCGCCCAUGCUGGAGUGCAGUGGCGCGAUCUCGGCUCGCUGCAACCUCUGCCUCCCAGGUUGAAGCAAUUCUCAUGCCUCAGCCACCCGAGUAGCUGGGAUUACAGGCAUGCGCCAUCAUGCCCAGCUAAUUUAUGUAUUUUUAGUAGAGUUGGAGUUUCACCAUGUUGGCCAGGCUGGUCUUGGACUCCUGACCUCAGGUCAUCCACCCGCCUCAGCCUCCCAAAGUGCUGGUAUUACAGGCGUGAGCCACCGCACCCAGCCCCAUCUUUCAUUUUCAAAGAGAAGGGCAUUCUAAUAGGAACUGGUGCCAAGAGAGAAGAAAAGAAGUGAUAACAGAAGAAAUGGCUAGUUACAAUAUUAAAAAGCUCCUCUUUGAGAUCUCCUCUGCAGGAAUAUCAGAGACGGAGUUGAAGCGCUGGAGAGGUAAUAGGUCUAGACAGUACAGAACAAUAACUGGGGAGUGUGUGAGGAUAGACUGGGCUCCCCCUUGCUUGAAAGAUCUCUGGCAUUUAAUUCUCAAUUCUUGAUUACUAUUUUCCAGUGUAAAACUAGCACAUAUGAUCUGACUACAGGACAGAGAAUUUUAAGUGAAACAUUUGCCUUACUUGCAGUAAUAAUGUGCUGUUCUUCACAGUAGCUAAGGCCCUCUAUGUUUCCCAGAGGUAAAUAAGAAUCCAGGAAUGGAGGUCCAUCUGUGAUGAAUGGCUUUUUUCUAAUCAAAGUAGUAUAAUGCUGUUUUAUCUGUUUUGUCAUCUUGUUUUUUUUUUUUUUUAAAAAAACAAAACCUUAAUUAUAAUAUAGCGCAAAGAAAGGCCAGGACUGAUGCAGGGAUUCCUUGGAAAUAUCAGUUCCUAUCACUUUUAAAACCUGAUUUUGGAUCUCUCUGUUCUAUGUAUGUCUUUAGUGAGAGCACAAUACAUGGCAGAACGCUGUGCCAAAUGUUAUAGGUAAGGAAUAUAGAAAUGAAUGUUUUUUGUUGUGAAGGUGUUUUCAUGUGAUAUUUUAUAAACACAUUUUAAAAAAUCUCCAUCACUUUUUAGUAUAGGAAGGAUAGCUUUGCCUGGGAAAAACAGUUUCAACACACCUGCUCAGAGUAGCAGUUCUCCCUCAAAAAAGCAGUGUUCAGCCUGCACUGACUGUUCUGCUUGCCAAAAGGAGGAAGCAUGCAAGAUACUUAUUUCUCCAUAGAUUGUGGAGUAUAGAGGGAUGUGGGACUACAGAUUAUUAUUUUUUUUCCCCGAGACAGAGUCUUGCUCUGUCGCCCAGGUUGGAACACAAUGGCACGACCUCAGCUCACUGCAACCUCUGUCUCCCGGGUUCAAGCAAUUCUCCUGCUUCAGCCUCCUGAGUAGCUGGGAUUACAGGCACACACCACCACCGCACUCAGCUAAUUUUUGUAUUUUUAGUAGAGGUGGGGUUUUACCAUGUUGGCCAGGCUGGUCUUAAACUCCUGACCUUGUAAUCAUCCCGCCUCGGCCUCCUAAAGUGCUAGGAUUACAGGCAUGAGCCACCGCACCCGGCCCAGAUAAUUUUUAAUAGCCUUUGAUCAUGGGGUGAGUGAGGGAGUAGGUAUACUUGGCAAAUGCAUGGUUCUCUGAUUUCUAGCUCUAAAGCAGCCUUAUCUGAAUCCCCAAAUCUUGUGAUGCUGAGUACCAUUACUGAACCAGUCUGCACGGUAGGCAUCUGCUACCAAAAUUUACCUCCUACCUGGUAGGUGUCAUCUGAUAAGAAAGAAGACAGGUUAUUUUAAUUUUUUGAGAUAAUCACAGAAAAUUGCAGCCCAUACUCUUUAUUACCGAAUUCAAGUUUGGAAAUAGACCCUUUGUUUUAAAUCAUGAUGGGUCUUUAUCCCAAUCAUUUAUCUGGGUCAUUUUUCCAACUUUGGAGUUCUAGGAAAGAACCUUGAAAACCUGAUAUGAUUCUGCAGCAUGAGGUCUACGGUGACCAUUUGGGCAAAGCUCCAGUGGCAAUCAUUUAUUGUGUUUUGCAUUUCCUGGGAUUUAUUGAAAUAAGAAUUCACUGUGAUUAUGUAGUCUUCUGGCUAGUAUCAGGCAGCUCUGCUUUUAAUUUGGUUAAUUUUAUUUUCUCUGAAGAGGGAGAAGAGGUACAAUUUAAUCUUGGCCUCCACAAGCAUAUUAAAGCUCACGUGUUAAUCAGUGCAUUCUUAUGCUCCUACAUUAAAUGCCUUGGGUAAAUGGAUAAAUGGACAUGUGCCCAGCUUUAAUUUUUUUUGCAACAGAAAGAUCAGACUUCCGUAUGGCAUCGUUGGAUUUCAGAGGCUUUCUGGUGUAUCUGUAAAUCUGAAUGUUGCCUUCUGCCAGUCUGUAUAACCAGGUGAUUCAUGCUGCAAAUGAAAUCAGGAAGCAGUAAAGUGUUAAAGCAAGAGUAUUGUCCAAUUCACUUGUCUUCCUGAUCCUUGUACUUUAUUUCACGUGUCGGUGUUUACAUUACAUACUUAUAUUUCCUGUGAAAGAAAGAGUUAAAUAAAUUGUAGCAGUUUGA
Molecule: RNA transcript, 6677 nt
Organism: Homo sapiens (human)
Lineage: Eukaryota; Metazoa; Chordata; Mammalia; Primates; Hominidae
Gene: ALG9
Gene name: ALG9 alpha-1,2-mannosyltransferase
Exons: 16
Source: RefSeq, marked reviewed